GGGGUUGUAGUUAAUUAUAACAUUUGAUUUGCAUUCAAAAAGUAUUGAAUUUCAAUCUACCUUAUUAUUUUCAAGAAUAUGAAGCGAUUUAUUGCAAUUAGUUUCGACCUAAUCUUAGGUUUCUAAAACCCUUAUUCUUUAUUAAUUGAAGCCAAAAAGAGGCUUAUCACUGUUAAUGAUAGAACUGAAAAAUUUUUCCAAUUAAAGAAGUAUGACGUUCAAGAAAAAGCUGCUAACUUUUAUCUUUUAAUGGUUAAACUCCAUUUAUACUUCUAUUUAUAUAGUUUAAUAAAAACAUUACAUUUUCAUUGUAAAAAUAAAAUUUUUAUAUUUUUAUAAAUUACUAAAAAUAAUUAACUAUAUCUAAGAAUUAAAAUAAUUACCCUAACAUGUUCAGUGUUAUGCUCUAAAUUUAAGCUACUUAAAU
Molecule: transfer RNA, 427 nt
Filed under: Ceratitis capitata (Mediterranean fruit fly)
Lineage: Eukaryota; Metazoa; Arthropoda; Insecta; Diptera; Tephritidae
Rfam family: tRNA (bases 1-64)
Source: RNAcentral